This 176-nucleotide ribosomal RNA is filed under the name uncultured bacterium. RNAcentral's name for it is "partial 16S ribosomal RNA". It matches the Rfam family "Bacterial small subunit ribosomal RNA", at positions 1325 to 1500 of the family's 1533-position model. The record is from RNAcentral.
GCUGGAAUCGCUAGUAAUCGCGAAUCAGAAUGUCGCGGUGAAUACGUUCCCGGGUCUUGUACACACCGCCCGUCACACCAUGGGAGUUGGUAACGCCCGAAGUCAGUGACCCAACCUUAGGGAGGGAGCUGCCGAAGGCGGGACUGAUAACUGGGGUGAAGUCGUAACAAGGUAAC